GGAAGUUCGGAAGCCCCGCCCACAUUCUGUGGCGUUAGGAUGGGUGAGGAGAAAAUAGUUUUUCAUCACAGUUCUGAACCCUCGUACAGGCUUCUUUUACACGAACGGACAAACACAAAAGAAUAAAAUUAAACCCUUGGGAAAACCAACUCAACUAAAUGGCGAAAAGUUGCUGACCAGAAGAAUGCAAAAUUGAUUGCAACAUGUAAUUAAGUGGAGCAUUCUGGUAACUUCAUCCAGUUGUAUUUUAUCUCAACACAAACCCCAUAAGAUAAGCUUGCCCAUAAGAAUGGAAGCAAAGUAGAUUUUAUGUUGAAACAAACUUAAGGACCACAAGCAUCAGUAAAAAUAAUAAAACCACAAGGAUUGAAAAUCUUUGCAGUGCCUGAAACCCAAAGACAGCUUAUUUAUGAUAAACAAAAGUUGCUUUUGUGAUGAGGCCAAAGACCUUUCCAGCCACUUCAUAUACUGGAAACAGCCGUCAGAGACUGCAGGAAAUUCGGGAGGGGUUGAAACAACCUCAUAAACCUUCAGGCCAGGCUUUAAAUGUUGGCUCCAACAAUGAAACCCCGCUAGACCUGAAAGCCAUAGUUGCAAAGGAUGCUACCAGACAACAACAAAUGCGACCUGUCCCAAAAUUUGGGCCUCAUCAGAAAGCUCUCCGAGAAAUCAGAAACUCUCUGAUGCCAUUCGCAAAUGAGUCUGGUUCAUCUGCCAGUGUUGAAGUAAACAGACAAAUGCUACAAGAGUUGGUGAAUGCUGGAUGUGAUCAGGCAAGUCACCUAAAUAUUUUAAUAUUUUUGCUGUAUGUCAUUCAAUUUAUAAGUUUGUGUGUCUUCAAGGUUUUGAUUCCUGCUUGGAAAAAUACUGACCCCUAAAUUUUCACGAGGUCAGUUGCUUAUUAAUGGUGUAUAUUGGCUGUGUUUGCAGCAUUAAGAAUAAAAAGAACAGGACUCGGAAAUGCUAGAUCCCAGCCCAGAUUUUGAACUCCUAUCAGAGUCUACCUGGGUGGAACUCAGAAAUCACAAACCAUACUUGAUGCUGACAGAGGGGGCAUGGAUAGGAGGAAAUGAAUUCUGACACUAGUUUUGUCAAAGAUGUCCUGCCUUCUAUACGGUGAGGGUGAACCCAACAUAAAGGUCAACUGGAUGUUGAAUUGGUUGGGACAAGCAGGAUGUUGUCUGUCAUCACUUGGUACUACUUUGUGCUAUGUCCUGACUCUGUAUGAUUGUGAAAUUUGCACGUGUGGAUCCACUGCCACGCAGUGUUAUUCAUGUACUCAUUUGAUUUUCUUUACUCUUAAUUACUGCCUGCUGAGAGAAA
Molecule: long non-coding RNA, 1323 nt
Organism: Rhincodon typus (whale shark)
Lineage: Eukaryota; Metazoa; Chordata; Chondrichthyes; Orectolobiformes; Rhincodontidae
Exons: 3
Source: RefSeq, a predicted model, not a curated record